AGAGGUUGUGGCUCGGUGGUAGACCAUCUGUUUUGCACACAGAAGGUCCCGGGUUCAACCCCCGGCAUCUCCA
This 73-nucleotide transfer RNA is filed under the name Sphaerodactylus townsendi. RNAcentral describes it as "tRNA-Ala". It matches the Rfam family "tRNA". Rfam says of the family: Transfer RNA (tRNA) molecules are approximately 80 nucleotides in length. Their secondary structure includes four short double-helical elements and three loops (D, anti-codon, and T loops). Lineage: Eukaryota; Metazoa; Chordata; Lepidosauria; Squamata; Sphaerodactylidae. The record is from RNAcentral.